GACCGCGUAGCUCAGUUGGAAGAGCAUUGGGCUAGUAUUCCAAAGGUCGUAGGUUCGAAUCCCACCGUGGUCU
Paramuricea clavata is the source of this 73-nucleotide non-coding RNA. The record is from the annotation of a GenBank genome assembly. NCBI's taxonomy places the organism in Eukaryota, Metazoa, Cnidaria, Anthozoa, Malacalcyonacea, Plexauridae.